This 256-nucleotide ribosomal RNA is filed under the name uncultured bacterium. Its description in RNAcentral is "partial 16S ribosomal RNA". It matches the Rfam family "Bacterial small subunit ribosomal RNA", at positions 524 to 780 of the family's 1533-position model. The record is from RNAcentral.
UACGGAGGAUCCAAGCGUUAUCCGGAAUCAUUGGGUUUAAAGGGUCCGUAGGCGGGCCUGUAAGUCAGUGGUGAAAUCUUCGGCUCACCGGAAAAUUGCCAUUGAUACUGCAGGCCUUGAAUUAUUGGGAAGUAACUAGAAUAUGUAGUGUAGCGGUGAAAUGCUUAGAUAUUACAUGGAAUACCGAUUGCGAAAGGCAGGUUACUAUCAAUAUAUUGACGCUGAUGGACGAAAGCGUGGGGAGCGAACAGGAAUU